UGAGUAACACGUAUCCAACCUGCCGUCUACUCUUGGACAGCCUUCUGAAAGGAAGAUUAAUACAAGAUGGCAUCAUGAGUCCGCAUGUUCGCAUGAUUAAAGGUAUUCCGGUAGACGAUGGGGAUGCGUUCCAUUAGAUAGUAGGCGGGGUAACGGCCCACCUAGUCUUCGAUGGAUAGGGGUUCUGAGAGGAAGGUCCCCCACAUUGGAACUGAGACACGGUCCAA
Molecule: ribosomal RNA, 227 nt
Filed under: uncultured bacterium
Lineage: Bacteria
Description: partial 16S ribosomal RNA
Rfam family: Bacterial small subunit ribosomal RNA
Source: RNAcentral